CUCAGUUCGGAUCGGAGUCUGCAACCCGACUCCGUGAAGCUGGAUUCGCUAGUAAUCGCGCAUCAGCCAUGGCGCGGUGAAUACGUUCCCGGGCCUUGUACACACCGCCCGUCAAGCCAUGGGGAGCCGGGGGUGCUUGAAGUGCGUCGCCGCAAGGCGCGCCCUAGAGCAAAACCGGUGACUGGGGCUAAGUCGUAACAAGGUACC
RNAcentral lists this ribosomal RNA (207 nucleotides) under uncultured bacterium. Its description in RNAcentral is "partial 16S ribosomal RNA". It matches the Rfam family "Bacterial small subunit ribosomal RNA", at positions 1287 to 1500 of the family's 1533-position model. The record is from RNAcentral.